UGUGGGAGCGAGCCUGCUCGCGAAAGCGUUGUGUCAGUCAACACUUCGACAACUGACAGAUUGCAUUCGCGAGCAGGCUCGCUCCCACA
Molecule: non-coding RNA, 89 nt
Filed under: Pseudomonas jessenii
Lineage: Bacteria; Pseudomonadati; Pseudomonadota; Gammaproteobacteria; Pseudomonadales; Pseudomonadaceae
Source: RNAcentral